CUCUCACGCACAGCUGGGCCAGUCUAAGUCUGAUACCAAUGGAAGUUUUGGACCCAGAGCUGUUCUCCCUCACCUGAGGCAUCUUUACUGGCUGUGGCUGGCUCUACCAGAUGCCUUCCCCCUUUACAGUAAAUCUCUCUCUGGGAUGUUUUGUCCUUUUAACAGUCAGGCUUCCACCAGGGUCCCCCAGUGUAUCCAGAAUGCCCAUAAUGUCUGAUCCCCAACAGUGGACUCAGUUGAAGCCUUUCUGGCCUGGUCAGUUGAUAUUUAUGUGGGUGACCAGAGAUCCCAAUUCCACCGAUCAGAGUUUUGUACCCAAGUCCUAGAUUCUCUCUGUUAAUCCUCAGCAGUCCCUCAAAGAAAGUACUAUCCCCAUUUCAAAUAUUCAAAAAGUGAGGAGUUGAGAAGUUACUUUAACUCCUUAAGGACUAAGAGGUAUUAUGUGGCUGUGCUGGGAUUUGACUCUAGCAGCGCUUGACUCCAGAGUAUGGUUGACUUCAGUUUGCAACUAAUGCCUUAAUCCACGCUGUGAUUGAUCAGCUGCUAAAACAUAGGAACAAUAGGAUAACAAAAAGUGACAGGCUACCAAUGCAAAAGCUUCACACUCCUUACCUGCAUAUCGAAGAAAAGGGCUUCAAAGAGACUCAGGACUGAGUGGUUAUGGAGACGGUGUAACAUCCCACCGACACUGUGUGACGAAGGUUUCAAGGAAACCGUUCUCUUCUACCGUGUCCAUGCGCUGUGAGGCCGUUGAGAGUGUUUCCUGAGAUUUCUGCAGCACGACACAGUGGGCCACAAAUGCUCCCUUUUCUGUGUCAUUUGCUCUCUUCAUUGAUAAAGGACACUCAUCCUUCCUGUUU
This 860-nucleotide long non-coding RNA is filed under the name Homo sapiens (human). Its description in RNAcentral is "HSALNT0309392". The record is from RNAcentral. Lineage: Eukaryota; Metazoa; Chordata; Mammalia; Primates; Hominidae.